Molecule: transfer RNA, 73 nt
Filed under: Candidatus Aenigmatarchaeota archaeon
Lineage: Archaea; Nanobdellati; Candidatus Aenigmatarchaeota
Description: tRNA-Asp
Rfam family: tRNA
About the family: Transfer RNA (tRNA) molecules are approximately 80 nucleotides in length. Their secondary structure includes four short double-helical elements and three loops (D, anti-codon, and T loops).
Source: RNAcentral
GCCCGGAUCGUCUAGUGGCCUAGGAUAAAGCCCUGUCACGGCUUCGACGCGGGUUCAAAUCCCGCUCCGGGCG